Molecule: long non-coding RNA, 2449 nt
Organism: Pocillopora damicornis (cauliflower coral)
Lineage: Eukaryota; Metazoa; Cnidaria; Anthozoa; Scleractinia; Pocilloporidae
Source: RefSeq, a predicted model, not a curated record
ACAAAGACUUAUGUGGCGAAAGACCUGAGAUAAUAAGAACCAGGAGCUAUUCAACUCUAACGGUGAAUCCUUACCACCAAAGAUGACAUUAGAAUUUUUUAUUUUUAUUUUACCGAAUUCAGUUCCCGUGUAACUCAUUUCCAAAGUUAGCAGAAUCGUCAUGUUCCUGUUUUAGGAAUUCAGCGUUCAUUAUAAAGAUGAAAUCUUGAAACUUUUGCUUAUUAAUUAAGUCGGGACAUUUCUGUCGUUGCUCAGAAAAGAUAUGCUCAGGGAAGUUUUCGUAAUCUUCACAUCGAAACACCAGUUAUGACGUCAAGAUGACGUUCAGCGUAGGAGUGAAAUUAAUGCAGGCAAAAUGUGCGGUUUUUAAUGGGGUUCUUUACCUUUGAAAUUUGCAUUAGAGAUAAUUAAACCCAAAUUGAAGGUUUUACAGCUCGGCAGGUGGAUAGGUAAGGACAAUUAAUAAUCAUAUCAUGUCUUGCCAUGGUCGCAUUUUGACUUUUCAUUUCCUUAAUAAAGAAUUUAAUUGAUUCAACCCAGAAAUGUUCUGAUGCAAAGGUGUUGCGGUGCUACGAAAUGAACAGGAACAAUGGCGGUGUUAUCGAGGCACGUACUUCAUCUUGGAUGAUAUACAAAUUGUUUAUUACAUUUGAUUAGAAGAGGAUCUGUAUGCAAUGAAGAAAUACCAAUUCUUUGAUAUAAAGGAAACAAUUUUUUAAUCCCUUCGAAUGACGCUCUUGAGAAUCCAUAGCUUGGUCAUGCUGUUUAUAGGUGACGCUAUUACCCCCUUCUCCUCCUUCACCCCAUUCCCCCCUCGGAUUUCCUCAUAACUGCCAUCCCCAAUUCCGUAUGAGAAUAUUCAACUCGCCCAAGUUAGGAUGAGGGUAUGGUAAAUUAGUGGGUUUAUUAGAACUUGUUUCAACUAUUGUUCUCAUAAUGAAUUUCAGGUGUUAUUUCAAAACUUGUUGUCUAUGCAAUAUAGUAAAAACCAAGAGAUAACAAACAGCUUAUAAUCUCUUGACCGAUGAUAAGUUGCUGUUGCUGUGUUUGAUUUAUAAGGAAAAUGGAACUGAACUAAACUAUGAAACUAAUAUAAAGUAAAGGAAUGACGGAGAAAAUAAAUUAUAGUUACCUCCUCUUGGUUCGCUUCUAAAGUAAAUGAGUGUAUAAACAAAGAAAGCAGACGAACAGCGAGUAAUUAAAACAUUGGUUGGGGAAACUCAUUCGCUUCAAGAAAAAUCUAUCCGCGAAUGCUUAUAGUCUGUAUAAAGCUCUGUAAUAAUCCAUGAAACUCUCUCCAGUAAUCACUCAUUCCUUUCCCACUUUUUGUCUGAAGGAAUUGCGAAAUGUAAAAUACAACAGCGUUUAAACUCAACUGCUUAUGUGAAGAUCCAACAGUGAUGUUGUUUAAGGACGAGACCUCAGUUGUCUUGAUUCAUCUUCAAGAGUGUUCAAUUAACUUGUUACCUUGAAUAGGAUGCAUAUAUGUCUAGAAAAGCGUAACAUUUCGGAUCUGUAUGAAGCUGCCUGAACAGGCAUUUCCAAGCACUCAUGAUGGUGUCGCGCGGGUGCACAAUAUUUUUCCCGCCCUGUUUCUAGGGCAAAAGUAACCUCAAAGAGGGAGGAGUGGGACAGUAGAAAGUCCCUGGUUUUUUUUUGUUUUGUUUUGAAUUAAUUACUAUAAAAUUUUGCCGGAGUUAGCGUAUUUUAAAAGGGGCAAUAUCCAUCCAGUUGCGUAGCUCUGAAUCAAGGAUAAAAGAAUAAGAGAACUGGGCACAUGGAGUACAAAGCUGGUCUGAGCCUGAAAUAAAGAAUAGAUCUUGUUUCUUAGAAAGUGGUCCUAGCUUUGAGCUCCCCCCCAGUCCCUCCCACACAGUUUGACCUACUCUAGGUAGCCAUGUAUUACCCCUUUACUCCAUAAAACUAAUAUUUAUGUUCUCCACACAGCUCUCUCUACAUUCCAUGUAGUAUCAACAAGAAGAGUUUGUUUGAAAAUCAGGAGUUUCUGAAUAAAAUUAGCAGUCAUUCCUCUAUCCUCAUGAGCUUUAUAUUUAAUUCAAGGGUGAUCAUGUAAGGAGAAGUUAGAUUCAAGUCAGGGGUAAUAAGGUAAAACUACACAACAUAGCAAUUCAAUCUAGCAUUUAAGUCAGAAUGCUCAUAGAAAGGAUCUGAUCCAAAUGUUCCUGAAUCUUAAAGCUACUAAAAUACCAGUUGUUAUGGCUACACCCUUCACCUUAGCAAGGUUUUGCUGACAAGUCACCACCAUAUUACUCUCAGUUAGGUGCUUAGAGGGUAUCAAGCCAGACUUAAAUGUUGAACCAAGACAUCACAUUGACCUUCUACACUUGGGAGGGACUUUCAAAAACCAACUGAAACGAGACAGAAACAAAGACAAAUUACAUUGUUGCAUAGAGCAAGGUCAAAUAGACUUCCCGCGUAAACAACAACA